RNAcentral lists this ribosomal RNA (517 nucleotides) under Candida tropicalis. RNAcentral's name for it is "eukaryotic LSU rRNA". It matches the Rfam family "Eukaryotic large subunit ribosomal RNA", at positions 77 to 600 of the family's 3401-position model. Lineage: Eukaryota; Fungi; Ascomycota; Pichiomycetes; Serinales; Debaryomycetaceae. The record is from RNAcentral.
GCCUUAGUGGCGGCGAGUGAAGCGGCAAAAGCUCAAAUUUGAAAUCUGGCUCUUUCAGAGUCCGAGUUGUAAUUUGAAGAAGGUAUCUUUGGGUCUGGCUCUUGUCUAUGUUUCUUGGAACAGAACGUCACAGAGGGUGAGAAUCCCGUGCGAUGAGAUGAUCCAGGCCUAUGUAAAGUUCCUUCGAAGAGUCGAGUUGUUUGGGAAUGCAGCUCUAAGUGGGUGGUAAAUUCCAUCUAAAGCUAAAUAUUGGCGAGAGACCGAUAGCGAACAAGUACAGUGAUGGAAAGAUGAAAAGAACUUUGAAAAGAGAGUGAAAAAGUACGUGAAAUUGUUGAAAGGGAAGGGCUUGAGAUCAGACUUGGUAUUUUGUAUGUUACUUCUUCGGGGGUGGCCUCUACAGUUUAUCGGGCCAGCAUCAGUUUGGGCGGUAGGAGAAUUGCGUUGGAAUGUGGCACGACUUCGGUUGUGUGUUAUAGCCUUCGUCGAUACUGCCAGCCUAGACUGAGGACUGCGG